This 335-nucleotide ribosomal RNA is filed under the name uncultured bacterium. RNAcentral describes it as "partial 16S ribosomal RNA". It matches the Rfam family "Bacterial small subunit ribosomal RNA", at positions 338 to 690 of the family's 1533-position model. The record is from RNAcentral.
GCUACGGGUGGCUGCAGUAGGGAAUAUUGCUCAAUGGGGGAAACCCUGAAGCAGCAACGCCGCGUGGAGGAUGAAGGUUUUAGGAUUGUAAACUCCUUUUGUUAGAGAAGAUUAUGACGGUAUCUAACGAAUAAGCACCGGCUAACUCCGUUCCAGCAGCCGCGGUAAUACGGAGGGUGCAAGCGUUACUCGGAAUCACUGGGCGUAAAGAGUGCGUAGGCGGGGUAAUAAGUCAGAUGUUAAAUCCUGUAGCUUAACUACAGAACUUCAUUUGAAACUGGUACUCUGGAGUGUGGGGUGGGGAGGUGGGAAUCUUUGGUGAGGGGGAAAAUUCG